ACCACGCCCCCCAACCCCGCGCGCCAGCCGGGAGCGGGGCCUGGCGGCCUUGGGGGCCGGCUGAGCUCCCGGCGCGGCGGUCUGAAGAGUUGGCGGACGGGCGGUCGAAGCGCCGAGCCCGGGGCGGGAGACGGCGGCCGCGCUGACCUCUCGGCUUUGCGGGGCUUGGCGCAGAGGCCCGCGGGGUUCACUUCCUUGAAAGUGAAGAAAGUGAAAGAAACCUUUCUUGACUACUCCAUGGGCAAUAACAACCCCACCUACUCUUUUUUCUUAACAGGAAUUAGUUUAUUCAUGAUGAACUACACACUUUUGUUUGGAAAACUGCAUUCCUUCUUACAGCUUCAAUAACACUAUGAUGUUCCCUGAUUAACACCUUAAACGAGAGAUUUUGUGAUUAAAGAUGGGAGCAGCAGGCAAGAAAAAUUCAUAGAUCAUGCUGCAGAUUCCAGCACUGGCAAAUGGAUGGAUAUUGGUGCAUUUUAUUAAACUAGAGACCAUAGGAUUUCUCACAGACAUAUUUGCGAGAAAAGGUAAACACAGUUUUGGACACACUGAGGUAAAAGUUCUAUAAAUUUGCACGUGGACAUGUGCAACAGUCAGUUUCUGCCUUACUUUGAGAGAGAUUUGGGCUGAAGUUAUGAAUUUGAAAAAUAUCAAAGUUCAUUGAGUUCAUUAGAGUGUGAAGAUUGAAAAGGCAGAGGGUCAAAGAUACACCUAGAGAAAAGUCAACGUGUAAAAUUAGUGGAAGAAGAAGAAGAGAUUGAAAAGUUUUGGGUGGAAAUGAAAACAAACAAAUCUAGGUCAAUAUACAAAGAAAUUGAAGAGGUUUAGAGGAGUUUGGAGUUGUUAGUGCUAAAUAUUGCUAAGUAGUCAAGAAAGGUGGGUUUUUUGGGG
This 894-nucleotide long non-coding RNA is filed under the name Equus asinus (donkey). RNAcentral's name for it is "lncRNA (ENSEASG00005035669.1)". The record is from RNAcentral. Lineage: Eukaryota; Metazoa; Chordata; Mammalia; Perissodactyla; Equidae.